RNAcentral lists this small nuclear RNA (103 nucleotides) under Neotoma lepida (desert woodrat). Lineage: Eukaryota; Metazoa; Chordata; Mammalia; Rodentia; Cricetidae. The record is from RNAcentral.
GUGCUUUUGCAGCACAUAUUCUCAAAUCGGAAUGAUAGAAAGAGGAUUAGCAUGGCCCUUGUGCAAGGANGACACUCAAAUUCAUGAAGUGUUUCAUAUUUUU